GACGAACGCUGGCGGCGUGCUUAACACAUGCAAGUCGAACGCUGAAGACCUGGCUUUUGUUGGGUUGGAUGAGUGGCGAACGGGUGAGUAACACGUGAGUAACCUGCCCUCUUCUUUGGGAUAACGCCCGGAAACGGGUGCUAAUACUGGAUAUUCACUGAUCUUCGCAUGGGGGUUGGUGGAAAGGUUUGUUCUGGUGGGGGAUGGGCUCGCGGCCUAUCAGCUUGUUGGUGGGCUGAUGGCCUACCAAGGCUGUGACGGGUAGCUGGCCUGGGAGGGUGACCGGUCACCUUGGGACUGGGCUACGGCCCAGACUCCUGCGGGAGGCAGCAGUGGGGAAUAUUGCACGAUGGGCGAAAGCCUGAUGCAGCGGCGACGCGUGAGGGAUGGAGGCCUUCGGGUUGUAAACCUCUUUCGCUCAUGGUCGAGCCGCAACUGUGGGUUGUGGUGAGGGUAGUGGGUAAAGAAGCGCCGGCUAACUACGUG
RNAcentral lists this ribosomal RNA (486 nucleotides) under uncultured bacterium. RNAcentral describes it as "partial 16S ribosomal RNA". It matches the Rfam family "Bacterial small subunit ribosomal RNA", at positions 28 to 507 of the family's 1533-position model. The record is from RNAcentral.